CCCUUAGAUGUUCUGGGCCGCACGCGCGCUACACUGAUGAAUGCAACGAGCUCUACCCUUGACCGAAAGGCCCGGGUAAACUUGUGGAACUUCAUCGUGAUGGGGAUAGAUUAUUGCAAUUAUUAAUCUUCAACGAGGAAUUCCUAGUAAGCGCGAGUCAUCAGCUCGCGUUGAUUACGUCCCUGCCCUUUGUACACACCGCCCGUCGCUCCUACCGAUUGAAUGGUCCGGUGAAAUCUUCGGAUUGCUGACCAAGAUCCAGCAAUGGAGCUUGGUUGCGAGAAGUUGAUUAAACCUUAUUAUUUAGAGGAAGGAGAAGUCGUAACA
Molecule: ribosomal RNA, 327 nt
Filed under: uncultured eukaryote
Lineage: Eukaryota
Description: partial 18S ribosomal RNA
Rfam family: Eukaryotic small subunit ribosomal RNA
Source: RNAcentral